GUGGUGGAUCAUAUGAUUAUAUCUUUCCUACCAAUGAGUUUGGUCUUCAGAGAGAUCUAGAGAUCAAAGCAUGGUAUUUUACCAUCAAAUUAUUAGUGUUCAUACAUGAAGAUUUGUCUGACUAACUCAUUCCAAUGACUAGUCGUUCUCCUUUCAUUUGUGCCUCUUCCUAAGUCCAGGAUGCAUUAGAAUGAGAGAACGAAAAUGGACUAAAGGA
RNAcentral lists this long non-coding RNA (217 nucleotides) under Elaeis guineensis (African oil palm). RNAcentral's name for it is "long non-coding RNA (EGUI_LNC025020)". Lineage: Eukaryota; Viridiplantae; Streptophyta; Magnoliopsida; Arecales; Arecaceae. The record is from RNAcentral.